Molecule: ribosomal RNA, 471 nt
Filed under: uncultured Alphaproteobacteria bacterium
Lineage: Bacteria; Pseudomonadati; Pseudomonadota; Alphaproteobacteria
Description: bacterial SSU rRNA
Rfam family: Bacterial small subunit ribosomal RNA
Source: RNAcentral
GUUUGAUCCUGGCUCAGGACGAACGCUGGCGGCAGGCUUAACACAUGCAAGUCGAACGCUCUCUUCGGAGAGAGUGGCAGACGGGUGAGUAACGCGUGGGAAUCUACCCAGUACUACGGAACAACAGUUAGAAAUGACUGCUAAUACCAUAUACGCCCUCCGGGGGAAAGAUUUAUCGGUAUUGGAUGAGCCCGCGUUUGAUUAGCUAGUUGGUGAGGUAAUGGCUCACCAAGGCGACGAUCAAUAGCUGGUCUGAGAGGAUGAUCAGCCACACUGGGACUGAGACACGGCCCAGACUCCUACGGGAGGCAGCAGUGGGGAAUAUUGGACAAUGGGCGAAAGCCUGAUCCAGCCAUGCCGCGUGUGUGAUGAAGGCCCUAGGGUUGUAAAGCACUUUCAACGGUGAAGAUAAUGACGGUAACCGUAGAAGAAGCUCCGGCUAACUUCGUGCCAGCAGCCGCGGUAAUAAGG